GAUGGUACAGAAACACCAGAGGCUUGACUCGUUGAGUCGGGUCGCUACAAACAACAACAGGACGAACAACAACAACAACAAUAGCAAGAACAACAACAACAACAACAACAACAACAACAACAACAACAACAACAACUACAACAACUACAACAACAAGAAUGAAGGUGAUGAAAACAACGGCGACGACAAAAACAACAACGAUGACAACAACAAAAACAAC
Molecule: long non-coding RNA, 220 nt
Filed under: Hordeum vulgare
Lineage: Eukaryota; Viridiplantae; Streptophyta; Magnoliopsida; Poales; Poaceae
Description: long non-coding RNA (HVUL_LNC012238)
Source: RNAcentral